RNAcentral lists this unclassified non-coding RNA (160 nucleotides) under soil metagenome. RNAcentral's name for it is "partial internal transcribed spacer 1". The record is from RNAcentral.
CAGAGUUGCAAGACUCCCUAAACCAUUGUGAACCUACCUUCUACCGUUGCUUCGGCGGGCGGGCCCAGCGCCCCCCCGGUCCCCCGCGGGCGCCCGCCGGAGGAUACCCAAACUCUUUGACAUUAGUGGCCUCUCUGAGUAUUCUUUACUGAAUAAGUCA